GACGAACGCUGGCGGCGUGCCUAAUACAUGCAAGUAGAACGCACAGUUUAUACCGUAGCUUGCUACACCAUAGACUGUGAGUUGCGAACGGGUGAGUAACGCGUAGGUAACCUGCCUGGUAGCGGGGGGUAACUAUUGGACACGAUAGCUAAUACCGCAUAAUAUUGAUUAUUGCAUGAUAAUUAAUUGAAAGGUUCAAUUGCACCACUACCAGAUGGACCUGCGUUGUAUUAGCUAGUAGGUGAGGUAACGGCUCACCUAGGCGACGAUACAUAGCCGACCUGAGAGGGUGAUCGGCCACACUGGGACUGAGGCACGGCCCAGACUCCUACGGGAGGCAGCAGUAGGGGAUCUUCGGCAAUGGACGGAAGGCUGACCGAGGAACGCCGCGGGGGUGGAGGAGGUUUUCGGGUCGUAAAGCUCCGUUGUAAGAGAAGAACGGGAGUGGGAGUGGAAAGUGCACACUGUGACGGUAUCUAACCAGAAAGGGACGGCUAACUACGUG
This 505-nucleotide ribosomal RNA is filed under the name uncultured bacterium. RNAcentral's name for it is "partial 16S ribosomal RNA". It matches the Rfam family "Bacterial small subunit ribosomal RNA", at positions 28 to 507 of the family's 1533-position model. The record is from RNAcentral.